AGAGUUAAACAGUACGUGAAAUUGUUGAAAGGGAAACGAUUGAAGUCAGUCGUACCGGUGGGUAAUCAGCCUUUCGGUGUGAUUAUGUGGGGUGCGAGGAGUUAAACGCCCUCGUGUUUUGCAUAUUCGUGCUCUUUGGGUGUACUUGCCCGCAUGGUAGGUUAACAUCAAUUUCGGACGUCAUAAAAUGGUUGGAGGAAUGUGGCUUCGAUCUUGUAUUGAAGUGUUAUAGCCUUCGGCAGAUGUGAUGAUCGGGAUUGAGGAUUGCAACGGAUACCCUUCGGGGCUACCCGUCUGAUCUCUGAUAGUUGCUCUGGUGCCGAAAGCGUGCUUACGGUUAUCAAAGUUGACGGUCAACAGGUUAGAACGGGUUAAAUUCGUUAAGGAUGUUGACGUAAUGGCUUUAAACGA
This 411-nucleotide unclassified non-coding RNA is filed under the name uncultured Glomeromycotina. RNAcentral's name for it is "sequence contains 28S rRNA gene". The record is from RNAcentral. Lineage: Eukaryota; Fungi; Glomeromycota.